CCGAGGCCUUGCAUACGCUGGAGUGAAGGGCGUGAGCGCAAAGGAGACUCGGAAGCGAUACGGAUGCGGAAGCUGUACAGGCACGGAGAAUGCUUGACUUGCAGGCAAGCUUAGCAAGCUCACACGGCUUUACUAUGAGGAAGUUGGUCCAAUCUUCCGUUUUUGGAUUGCUCGAGGCGUUUCUACUUUUGGGGAGGGCAUUCCGACUAUAUUGCGUCAUACUAUUCUUUCCGGUUUCCGUUAAUAAUGUAAGUAUAUCUGACACAUCCCUUGAUUAAAGGACUUCUAUUUUCUUUUAAUUCUUUCGAAUAAGUGACUGACUAUUUCUCAUCACGCUUUGAAUGGGGGCUCGACCGGAAAUUGGCCGCCAUUCAAGACAGGGCUGCCAACGGGUGGGAUCCGGGUCCGGUCCAGGUGGAAGCACUCCCGAGUAGAUCAUUAAUUGGGACAAAACCUUAGAGUCAAAACCGUCCAUUUUAAAUUGAAAUUUAGGUAGGAACAAUCACAUAGGUAUAAAUCCGAACCAUUUAAGCUAUAAAAAACCACUUUUCUUAUUUA
Non-coding RNA from Nelumbo nucifera (sacred lotus), 558 nucleotides. The record is from RefSeq and is a predicted model, not a curated record. Lineage: Eukaryota; Viridiplantae; Streptophyta; Magnoliopsida; Proteales; Nelumbonaceae.